CCUACGGGUGACAGCAGUAGGGAAUAUUGCUCAAUGGGGGAAACCCUGAAGCAGCAACGCCGCGUGGAGGAUGAAGGUUUUCGGAUUGUAAACUCCUUUUGUUAGAGAAGAUAAUGACGGUAUCUAACGAAUAAGCACCGGCUAACUCCGUGCCAGCAGCCGCGGUAAUACGGAGGGUGCAAGCGUUACUCGGAAUCACUGGGCGGAAAGAGCGCGUAGGCGGGAUAGCAAGUCAGAUGUGAAAUCCUAUGGCUUAACCAUAGAACUGCAUUUGAAACUGUUAUUCUAGAGUAUGGGAGAUGUAGGUGGAAUUCUUGGUGUAGGGGUAAAAUCCGUAGAGAUCAAGAGGAAUACUCAUUGCGAAGGCGACCUGCUAGAACAUAACUGACGCUGAUGCGCGAAAGCGUGGGGAGCAAACAGGAUUAGAUACCCCAGUAGUC
Molecule: ribosomal RNA, 440 nt
Filed under: uncultured bacterium
Lineage: Bacteria
Description: partial 16S ribosomal RNA
Rfam family: Bacterial small subunit ribosomal RNA
Source: RNAcentral